GAUGAACGCUAGCGGCGUGCCUAAUACAUGCAAGUCGAGCGGACAGACGAGGAGCUUGCUCCUCUGACGUUGGCGGCGGGCGGGUGAGUGACAAGUGGGUAACCUACCUAUCAGACUGGGAUAACUUCGGGAAACCGGGGCUAAUACAGGAUGAUAUAUUGAACCGCAUGGUUCCAUAGUGAAAGACGGUUUUGCUGUCACUUAUAGAUGGAUCCGCGCUGCAUUAGCUAGUUGGUAAGGUAACGGCUUACCAGGGCAUCGAUGCGUAGCCGACCGGAGAGGGUGAUCGGCCACACUGGAACUGAGACACGGCCCAGACCACUACGGUAGGCAGCAGUAGGGAAUCGUCCGCAAUGGGAGAAAGGCUGACGGAGCACCGCCGCGUGAGUGAUGAAGGUCUUCGGAUCGUAAAACUAUGUUAUUAGGGAAGAACAAAUGUGUAAGUAACUAUGCACGUCUUGACGGUACCGAAUCAGAAAGCCACGGCUAACUCCGUG
This 497-nucleotide ribosomal RNA is filed under the name uncultured bacterium. Its description in RNAcentral is "partial 16S ribosomal RNA". It matches the Rfam family "Bacterial small subunit ribosomal RNA", at positions 28 to 507 of the family's 1533-position model. The record is from RNAcentral.